UUUUGGGGAGUUUUUUUUGUUGUUUCUUUUCCAUAGGAAUUAGAGGUUAUCCUUUGUGCAUAAAUUCAUUGCAAUUUAUUUUUUUAAAACAAUAAUUUUCAACUAAAAAAGACUCUUUUAAUAAGACUUAAUGGCUAGAAAAUUGAAUUUUAGCCAAUUAUAAUAUUCAUAGGAGAGGCAAUCCCAAAUGUGCUCUUUAAGGGAGCUGGUAUCAUUGGUUGUUAGGUCAAUUAUCUAAUCUUGAAUUUUUAAAAUCGUUGUGGGUUUAAGGUGCUACAUUUGUGUGUUCUUUUUUAUUUCAUCUAUUUUGGUCAGUGAAAAGCAGGCCCCAAACUAACUGUCUCAUUAUUGUAUCAUCACAGUUUAUAGUAGAUUAAUACUUUGUUUAUAGUAUUUAAUAACUUCUGAAAAACUAGGAGAGUGUAAAUACUAAACAAAGGAAAUAGGUUUUUUCAAUGCAGAUUACUAAAUCAUUGAGUAAAUAUUUAUUGAAUGCAAAAUCUUGGGCAAAAGAUGAAGGAAGAGAAAUUGAAUUGCCCCUCAAGGAAAUUGUACUACAGUAGUCGGUUUUUCUUAACUGCUAGCUUUAAAAGAUUAAAAUGAAAUAUUCAGACCAUAGGGUUCUUAAUUUAUAAUACUUAAGCAGGAUGUUUAACAUAGACUUAAGUUCAAAAUUCUGUUUAAAAUAGACACAAAUGUAAUUGUCUUCAAAACAGCAUUACAUUAAGGAUCUGUGUUAGGAUUAGUAUUACUCAAAGUGCUGUAAAAACAAUGCCAUUUAAAUCACAUCCUUUGAAGAUUCAGAUCCACAAAAAAUAUGAUUCCAGUAAUUAAAUUUAAUUUUGGGAAAUGCAUAGGGGGAUGUUCAGUGAAUGUAAAAAAUAGGCUACUUGAGCACACAAACAGAAAUUGUUCUAAUGAAUUUUGAUUUUCUGUUUCAAUUUUUUGGUACAUUGACUCUUCUGACAUUGCACUUUGCUAUUAAUUAAAAAAAAUUAAACCCCAAAGACAAAUUAAUUCCAUAUUUAAUGCAGAUUUAAUUCAUGACUAGCUGUAAAGCUUAAGGAAUUGGCAGUCUUUUUGGUGAAACAAUAAAAUAGGAAUUAAGCAGAAAUGCAAAACUAUAUAAUAAUUAGGUUUCAUAAAAGUAUAUAUAGUUUUCCUUUUAUAACUAUAGGAGUCAAGAUAGUAUUAAUAUAAUUUUUUAGGCCACAUCAGGUUCUUGUAACUUAUCUGUGGCUCCAAUGUGUGAUAAUUGGAACUUUUAAGAAUACUAACCUCAGAGUGCAAUUCAGUAUACCUUUUUUAAAAGAGUUAACUACUUCAGUCCUAAACUGAGCCUAUUUCAAAUUGCUCAAUGGAUAUUUUAUUUUAAUUUAUUUUUGCUUUUUAGGGCUGCACGCACAGCAUAUGGAGGUUCACAGGCUAGGAGUCCAAUCGGAGCUACAGCUGCUGGGCUACACCACCGCUCACAGCAACGCCAGAUCUUUAACCCACUGAGCGAGCCCAGGGGUCAAACCCGAAACCUCAUUGUUUCUAGUCGGGUUCGUUUCUGCUGUGCCAUGACAGGAAGAUAUUUUAAUAGAUAUUUUAAUACAUUAAUUAUUUCUUUGCCCUUUUUUUGUUUGUAGAUCCUUAUAUGCCUACUUACCCAUAUUCAAAAAUCCCCAAUUCCAUUGUCUUUGAGAGAGGGGGAGGGUUAGUGCUCCUUCGUGUUUUACAUAUAUGUUUACAUUAAGACUUAGGCCCACUCCCUACUGAACCAAAGGGAAAGGGAAUAUUUGAAAGAAAACAUAUAUUUUACUCAGACUCCAAUAAUUAGGCUAAUGUAGUUGAUUUAUGUCAUACAUUGAGAUCAUUCUUAAAAGGUAAACAUUUUACAGUAGGCCUCCAGGCUCACAAAUCAGUGCUUUUUCUACAAAACAUUCUUUCUGUCUUGCUAAUGAAAUCCAAUUUCCAGAAUCAUAGUGAGUUGUUAAGCAAAUAUGCAUAAAACCAUAAAUUUAUCUGAAUCAUUUAUUAUUUAAAGAAUAGUAUAUAAAAAUUUAAACAGAAAUCAUUGAUCAGUGAAAAGCGAUAGAAAAUAAAAUAAAAAUAGAAUUAUGGUAAAAUAAGCUAAAAGACCUUUCUUUAGGGAAUUACUGGGGAAAGUGAGCUCAAAUAGGAGACCUGGGGGGCCUGCUGUAUAGCACAGGGAACCAUGCUCAAUAAUAUUUUGUAAUAACCUAUAAGGGAAAAGUAUCUGAAUCACUGCCAUACAGCUGAUGCCAUACAGCUGAAACCAACAUGACAUUAUAAAAUGUAACUACUUCAAUUUAAAAAAAAAAUGCAGGAACUUCCCUUAUCACUUACUAUUAGACUUUCUUUGCCAAUGUGCACCUCUUGUUUAAAAACCAAGUAAAAAUAUUUGAAAUGAGUCUUUUAAAGCUACAACUUAUAUAACAUUUAUAUAUAUAUCACUGCUGUAUAUAGACUAACAUUUUAACCUCACUACAGUAACUUGUACAAUUUUAUAACUGCUAAAUGCCCUACAAAAAGCUAUCAGCCCAUUGUCAACUGAAGGAAAAAAAAAAGCAAACCCCAAAAUUGAAAAUUAUGGUUUUUUUGAGGGACUUACUGAGGACUUAAGCCCAGAAGACAGCCUCUCAGAGGAACUCUCAGAGGGACUCUUUGGAGCUGGAAUAUAUAACAGUUUUUGCAACAAAAACCCAGGUAGUUGGAGCAUCAAAAGAUCACUGUUAAUUAAAGAAAAACCAGACAUCUCACUGAAGUUAAUGUAUUUAGCACUCUUCUCUAUAUGGGAAGAUAUAAGAAUUUGGGCUCACUGAAAUCAUUCCUCUGAUAUGCAUCUUAAUUAUCUAGGGCUAGUAUCCUGUUUCCCUCCCUCCUAAAUCCCCUCAGGGUGAACAGUUGGGAGCUGCUGGAGUGACUGAUGGCUUGAUGGCAUAACAUUCUUUGUUUACUGAUAUGAGAGGGGACAUUUUUCAUCAACACCAUGUAGAUAGGAGUUUCUUCCUUAGUGUUUUGUGGUAAUUGAGAAGAAAUCAGCAUUUAAGGAAUAUAUUAUUAUUGUAGUUUUUGAGUUUCCAAAGCCAAGAAUAUAAGAGCAGUAUCUAGGUACAGAUCCAUUAUUUUAGGAAAGAUAGUUUUACUCAGUCUGGUAACCGAUGCUUCUCAACUUAUAAUCAAGACUCAAUAAUCAAACCAGAAAGUUCAGGAAGAAAAGAGUAGCAAGUAUCAACCCUCAGAACUUGCUCAUAUCACAUACUUGUCAUUUUGGUGGUGGAUAUUUGCCGGUCUUCUCUGAUGAAAGAGAGAUUAGCAGUCCUGGUUUCUCUUGUGUUGACUGGCAGGUCUCAAGUAAAGAUUUAUUUUCCAAGAAGAAAAGCAAUUAGGGAGGUUUCUUGCAGAAGGAUUUUCAGAGCCGAAAAUCAGCCUUAAAAAUGCUGUAGUUUUUGGACCCAGUUCGGAAGUGGCCAAGACCAAACCUCAAAGCAUGAAAGCAAAUGUUGAGUAGAGGAGACAUUAUACUCAUUAAGAACUAUCAAAUGAAUCAGAGGCAAGACUUCCUAUUGACAGGCAAGUUAAGUGCUGUUUUCUGGAACUUUUAGUUGGUGCCUGGUGGAUUCUCUUGGAAUAGGUCUGGAAGGUUUUUUGGACAUAUUUGAAACAUGAGGUUGAAAUUUCCUCACUAGAAGGCCGGGGUAAGGACAAAAGAUCUGCCAGCUAUCAGAUAGACCCAGCACUGGUCUGGUGAUUCAAGUAGGAAGUGUCCAAGAAACUUUCUUCUGGAAUGUUGUGUCUACAAGAAACAAAAGAUUAAUACGUUGUUUGAUGAGUAAGAGAGUCAUCUUCUUAAAGCAUAGAUCCAAUACAGAAGAGCUUUGUGCCUGACAAAUAGGAAGACUUUUAGGUGAGGUACAGGCCAUGUCUUCCACUAAUGAACCUAGAUGGGAAUGAGGUGUGAUGGAUACCUGAAAAUUUCCUAGGCCGUUAGUAUUUUAUGAGUUAAAAAUAAUCCAAUAUGAUUGCUGAAAAUUUCUUUUGAAAAAUGAGAGUAUGUGCCUGCCACUUUUGGUUUAGUUUCUUUAGAGUCCCAUACUAGAUAUUACACUGUCUCUAUUGUUUCUCGAUGGAGGAACAGCAAAGGCUUUAAAAGGUCUGUAGGGCUUUAUAAACUCCAUUUAAAUCUAUCUGAAAAAGUGUAUUCCCUAAUAAUUACCAAAAUGCUAUUGUUAGGUAUUGGUGUUAAAAGACUUUGCCACGUCACGUCAGCUCUUGCUUAUAAGUAUGUUACUACCUAUCCUGCAAAGGUACACAUAAUCGCUAAAACAUAUCCUCAUGAAAAACACAUAUAAUAUUAACUGGAAUAUUUGCAGAAGGCUCCUAAGGGGGGUGAAUUGUAUUUAUUUAUUUAUUUAUUUAUUCAUGCAUUCUUUGUUUUUUUUCCUUGUUUUGUUUUGUUUUUGCUUUCUACAGCCGCACCCUGUGGCUUAUAGAAAUUCCCAGGCUAGGGUUGAAUCAGAACUGCAGCUGCCGGCCUACCCCACAGCCACAGCAACACAGGAUCUGAGCUGCAUCUGCAACCUACACCACAGCUCACAGCAACACCAGAUCCUUAGCCCACUGAGCAGAGGCAGGGAUCGAACCCAUAUCCUCAUGGAUACUGUUCAGGUUCAUUACUGCUGAGUCACAAGGAGAACUCCCAUUCAUUCUGUCUUUAAAUUUAAUUUGCUACCUGAUCUUGAAAAGGUAUAACAUCUGAAUGAGUUAGCAGAGAAAACCAGUUGGUUGAUAAUGAGCAAGGAAGAGUGAAGGAGAAAUCACCACAGCCUUACUUUAGUGAGAAUAGCAUUUUGUAAUAGCCAAGCUGAAGAGACUGUAAGGCCUGCUAGAUGUCUUAGCUCCUUCAGAAGUGAGGAAACCUUUUCAUUUUGCAGUUUUCUUCAAGAACUACCCCAAAGCUUGAGGUUAAUCUGUAAAUUAUGACUUUUAAGAGGUAAAAGUAUAAUCUCAAGUAAGGACAGCACUUUCUGCCACCUAGGAAAACUAUGGAGAAAGCAAAAUCUUACUACUUUGUGUUGAAAAGAGACUGCACAUCCAGAGACCAAUUUGGUUGUUUUUUUUUGUUUUUUUUUCUGAGCUACCAGUUCCCUCUUCAAUAUUAUACACAAGUGUUUUUAGUCGUAGCGCCUGUUACUAAUUAAACAAGUUGAGAUAGCAAAAACUCUUUAAAGUAGAAAUCAUAUCUAACCAGAGAUGUGUGUAUAAGUGUGUAUGACCAUAUAUUUGCAAGAAAAGGAAUGUGCCAAUGAUUUUCUUCCUCAUCUUAAAAAAUAAAUUUGCAAGAAAAUUUCAGAAAUCAGAAUGUUAUUUUAAAUAUUAACAAGGUGUCAAAUUAUUAAACCAGGCAAUCAGAAUCACAGACUUUAAAAGGUAUAAGUUAUUUUCCAGGCUAUAGCAACACUGAAAUUCGGAGGUCUGAUAGUACUAUUUUUAAAAAAAUACUUGUAAAGUCAGUUUUAUGACGUUGAAUAGAAUGUGUUUACUUUUCUGCAGUUAAGAGGAAGAGAGUGUAUUUUCCAAUUUUACUCUUGCUAAGAUUCAUUUAUUAAAGGAGCAGUUAGAAGUGCCUAAAUACUGGAGUUUAUGUCGUGUCACAGUGGUUAACGAAUCUGACUAGGAACCAUGAGGUUGCGGGUUCGAUCCCUGGCCUUGCUCAGUGUGUUAGGUAUCCGGUGUUGCCGUGAGCUGUGGUGUAGGUUGCAGACGUGGCUGGGAUCCCUUGUUGCUGUGGCUACAGCUCCGAUUGGACCCCUAGUCUGGAACCUCCACAUGUUGCUGAUGCAGCCUUAAAAAGACCAAAAAAAUUUUUUUUAAUUAAAAGAGUGCUAAAUACCAGAUUUCCACAAGCUAACAUCAAGAGUGAAGAUCAGGUACAAACUUAACAUUUAGAAGAAGACAGAAAUAAUGAAUGUUAACAAAUGGAAUACAGAACAUGUAAUGUCUUUCCUGUGCAUGUAAUUAGGAAUAUAAAGUUUAUUGCAGAUUAAAAUAUGUUUGAAACAGUCUAAAUAGUAUAUAUACUUGAAGUAGAUUUUGGUAAAAUGAUUGUAUAUUUAAAUCACCUGUUUCUUAAAUUGUAUGGUUAUUUUUAGUCUUUAUAGACCAUAAUUUACAGUUAUAGAUCAUUUUCUGUGGUAUGGGAAAGCUAUUUGUUGUUUUCCCUCCUCCCUCUUAACUCUGUCUCUCAUUAUUUUUAUGAUUCCCAAGAAUUUGCAAACUUGCUCUUUCAUGUUUUCUGAAAAUGUGAAAAGUGUUAAAAAUUUAUGUUUUCAGUGCCUUAGGAAGUAUGUAGGAAUACAUUUUUUAAAACCGUGUGCCCAAAUCAGCAUUUUCUAAAGUGUCAUGAUCUGUUUACAGGUGUUAGGUGAAAAAAGAUGCAGUUACAUAAUUUUGUGAAAUGCCAAAUUAAGUUAAAUUUUUUUCUGUAAGACUUAAGUUGCCCAAGCCUUCACUUAUUCUUUGUAAUCCCAUAUUACAUAUAACCAAUAUAAUGCUCAGUAUAUACUUUUGAAUAAGUUAAUACACAUCUAACAACUCCAAAGUUCAUUUUUUUAUUGUUUAUCCUUUUGAAUUUUAUUCCAUGUUCUUUGAACUACCACUCAAAAACAUCAACAAACAUUAUUUUUAAAGUUCUGCUUACUAGAUAGAACUAUCAAAUAUUUCAGCUUUCUCAGGAGUUCCCGUUGUGGUACAGUGGAAACUAAUCUGACUAGGAACCAUGAGGUGGCGGGUUCGAUCCCUGGCCUCGCUUAGUGGGUUAAGGAUCCGGCAUUGCCUUGCUUAGUGGGUUAAGGAUCCGGCAUUGCCGUGAGCUGUGGUGUAGAUCACAGACUCAGCUCGGAUCUGGCUGUGGCUGUGGUGUAGGCCAGCAGCUUCAACUCCGAUUCAACCCCUAGCUUGGGAAGAUUCGACCCCUAGCCUAGGAACCUCCAUAUGCCACGGGUAUGGCCCUAAAAAGAUUAAAAAAAAAAAA
This 7039-nucleotide long non-coding RNA is filed under the name Sus scrofa (pig). RNAcentral's name for it is "lncRNA (ENSSSCG00060044123.1)". The record is from RNAcentral. Lineage: Eukaryota; Metazoa; Chordata; Mammalia; Artiodactyla; Suidae.